RNAcentral lists this unclassified non-coding RNA (213 nucleotides) under Hevea brasiliensis (rubber tree). The record is from RNAcentral. Lineage: Eukaryota; Viridiplantae; Streptophyta; Magnoliopsida; Malpighiales; Euphorbiaceae.
GGUCUGAAAAUAAAAGGCACUAAGGGGUUUCAUAAUCUAGAUGGGGGUUUAACAACAAACACAACAAAAAAUGCAGUCUACUCGAUUUUCUCCGCAAAUAAACAGGUCAAUAAAAGAAGAUAAUAACUCCAUCUUCCAAGGAUUGUAAAAUCCUCAACAAAAUUAUCCUUUUCCCGGUUUUUUUAAACAGUUCUCUUAAAGAGCUAAUUAUUA